This 874-nucleotide long non-coding RNA is filed under the name Homo sapiens (human). Its description in RNAcentral is "HSALNT0284313". The record is from RNAcentral. Lineage: Eukaryota; Metazoa; Chordata; Mammalia; Primates; Hominidae.
AGAUGAGCUGAAACUGAAGCCACCAGACAAAGUGCUUUCUACUAUUUCCUUCCCUUUCUCCAGGCAGAGGAGUCUCUUCUCAGGUCCACCACCACCACAGUCCUACAGGGAGUACAGCCAAGUUCUAAACUUGAAUGCCAUUUGAAGAUCCUUGGAACUAUGAAAUAUCCCUAUAUUUGCUAAUGGGUAAAAAUACAAAUGCAUACCAAACUUCACUAAAUAUAUACAUGAAGAAUUGCAACCUUUCCAGCCAUGCAUACAAAUUCUCCAAAAGACAAUAUAAAAGGUGCAUACACAUUGAGGAUUAUCAUGUCUUCUUGGAAGAUUGCUCUGUUUAUGUAAUGCCUCACAUUAUCGCUGAUAAUUUUCCAUGCACUGAAGCCUGCUUUGUUAUUAUAACUACUCCAUAUUUCCUUCUCAGGUAUGUCUUUAUCAGCAGUGCGAUAUGUCUUUAUCGGCAGUGCGAAAAUGGAAUAAUACAGUAAAUUGGUACCAGUAGAGUGGAGUGCUGCUGAAAAGAUACUGGGAAAGGUGGAAACGACUUUGGAACUGGGUAACAGGCAGAGGUUGGAACAGUUUGGAGGGCUCAGAAGAAGACAGGAAAUUGUGGGAAAGUUUGGAACUCCCUAGAGACUUGUUGAAUAGCUUUGACCAAAAUCCUGAAAAUAUGGACAAUGAAAUCCAGUCUGAGGUGGUCUCAGAGGGAGAUGAGAAAUUUUUUGGGAACUGGAGCAAAGGCGACUCUUGUUAUUGUUUAGCAAGAGUUUUGCCACUGCCCUGGAGAUUUGUGGAACAUUGACUCUGAGAGAGAUUAUUUAGGGUAUCUGGCGGAAGAAAUUUCUAAGCAGCAAAGCAUUUAAGAGGUGACUUGGGC